GAGAUUUUAGUAUAAUUUAGUAUAAUUUAUUUUCAAUAAAUAGGUGAAAAUCUUGUU
RNAcentral lists this transfer RNA (57 nucleotides) under Kalicephalus indicus. RNAcentral's name for it is "tRNA-Glu". Lineage: Eukaryota; Metazoa; Nematoda; Chromadorea; Rhabditida; Diaphanocephalidae. The record is from RNAcentral.